Molecule: long non-coding RNA, 1397 nt
Filed under: Homo sapiens (human)
Lineage: Eukaryota; Metazoa; Chordata; Mammalia; Primates; Hominidae
Description: HSALNT0185198
Source: RNAcentral
GACCCGGCUGUGAGGGUCGCUGAAGAUGUAUGCCCGGGGGCGGCACAUCUUGCAGAUGGCAAGGCCUGUGAGGCCGGCACCACUGCCAAGUUCUAGGACAGUCCUGGCGGGAGGAAAGGGGACCGUGUCUUCGACUGCACCAGGGUAAGCCUGCCUUGGUGCCCUGCCCUGUGCCCCGAGGUCACCUGUUAGUGAAGGCUGCUGGGUUCUCGAUGGCCCAUUCUGCAAGGCAGAGGGUGGCGUCCCAUGUGACCAGGCCUGUGGUACCGUGAGAGAUGAUGGCUGUGCUCUCGGAGAUUGUGACCGAGCCUCCCGAGGGCUGCACCAAGAGAGGGCGAGAGAGUCAGUCCAGCGAUCAGAAGGCAAGUGGCUUAGAAGACAAGUAGCCAUCCACCACAUGGCUGAAUAAACCAUGACAGGACCAAUCGCCACUCAGCAAUGAGAAGCAGCUAACUGUUGACAUACCAACAGCUUUCACGGGCCUCAAGAUUGUCACGUGGCAUGAAAGACACUCAUCUCAGGCCACACAGGAUUCCAUUCAUCGAACAUUCCUGAGACAACGGAAUUCUGGCGAUGGAGCACAGGAGGUCUGCUACUGCCUACUAAGGAACGGCUUCUCGACAUCCUCCUGUCAAACCCUGCAUGUUCAGGCCCAUCUUUAAAAUCCAUCCUAGGCCAGGUGCAGUGGCUCAUGCCUGUAAUCCCAGCACUUUGGGAGGCCGAGGCAGGCGGAUCACCUGAGGUCAGGAGUUCGAGACCAGCCUGGCCAACAUGGUGAAACUCUGUUUCUACUAAAAAUACAAAAAUUAGCCAGGCAUGGUGGCGUGUGCCUGUAGUCCCAGCUUCUUAGAAGGCUAGGCACGAGAAUUGCUUGAACCCAGGAGGCAGAGAUUUCAGGGAGCCGAGAUUGUGCCACGGUAAUCCAGCCUGGGCACCACAGUGAGACUGUCUCAAAAAAGUAAAUAAACAAGUAAAAAAUAAAAUAUGCUUCACAGUCUACGGCAAAGGACAGAACGUUGGUUGCUCGAGAGCCCGUCUUAAGUCUCCUAUGAGCUUCAAGCCAACACAACAGAGGGCAAACUCCAGGCUACCUGAUCCCUCAGCAAAGAUGCAGAUGGACACAGCGUUCUGGCCCCACGCAUCUGAAGUUCGUCUUAAGAUGUAAGCCGUUUCCUAAAAAUGCUUCCACUGCAGUGUGAAAGCCUCAGCGCAUGAGCCAAUUCUGUGCAGUGCUCGACAUACAGAUGAGAACACUGAGGCACGAGGCACAGCCUGUGAUCUGGCCACCGCGCUCAGGAGGAGGUGGUUACCCGCGGGCCUGAGGGCGCUGACUUUUUAGAAUGGGCGAGUGCAGCUGUGUCCCAGUGUCCCAGUGACCAGAACGAUUACUGCCUUUU